This 460-nucleotide ribosomal RNA is filed under the name uncultured bacterium. Its description in RNAcentral is "partial 16S ribosomal RNA". It matches the Rfam family "Bacterial small subunit ribosomal RNA", at positions 338 to 795 of the family's 1533-position model. The record is from RNAcentral.
CCUACGGGAGGCUGCAGUGAGGAAUAUUGGUCAAUGGACGAGAGUCUGAACCAGCCAAGUAGCGUGAAGGAUGACUGCCCUAUGGGUUGUAAACUUCUUUUAUAUGGGAAUAAAAUGUUCCACGUGUGGGAUUUUGUAUGUACCAUAUGAAUAAGGAUCGGCUAACUCCGUGCCAGCAGCCGCGGUAAUACGGAGGAUCCGAGCGUUAUCCGGAUUUAUUGGGUUUAAAGGGAGCGUAGGUGGAUUGUUAAGUCAGUUGUGAAAGUUUGCGGCUCAACCGUAAAAUUGCAGUUGAAACUGGCAGUCUUGAGUACAGUAGAGGUGGGCGGAAGUCGGGGUGUAGCGGUGAAAUGCUUAGAUAUCACGAAGAACUCCGAUUGCGAAGGCAGUUCACUGGACUGCAACUGACACUGAGGCUCGAAAGUGUGGGUAUCAAACAGGAUUAGAUACCCCUGUAGUC